UACGGAGGUGGCAAGCGUUGCUCGGAUUUACUGGGUGUAAAGAGUUCGUAGGCGGUUUUGAAAGCCUGACUUGAAAUACUAUGGCUUAACCAUAGAACGUGGUUGGGAACUACAAGACUAGAGGAUGACAGAGGCAAGCGGAAUUCCCGGUGUAAGGGUGAAAUCUGUAGAUAUCGGGAGGAACACCAGUGGCGUAGGCGGCUUGCUGGGUCAUAUCUGACGCUGAGGAACGAAAGCUAGGGGAGCAAACAGG
RNAcentral lists this unclassified non-coding RNA (253 nucleotides) under uncultured bacterium. RNAcentral describes it as "contains 16S-23S intergenic spacer region". It matches the Rfam family "Bacterial small subunit ribosomal RNA", at positions 524 to 776 of the family's 1533-position model. The record is from RNAcentral.